GUGGUAUCCUGUCUGAAUAUGGGGGGACCAUCCUCCAAGGCUAAAUACUCCUGACUGACCGAUAGUGAACCAGUACCGUGAGGGAAAGGCGAAAAGAACCCCGGCGAGGGGAGUGAAAAAGAACCUGAAACCGUGUACGUACAAGCAGUGGGAGCACGCUUAGGCGUGUGACUGCGUACCUUUUGUAUAAUGGGUCAGCGACUUAUAUUCUGUAGCAAGGUUAACCGAAUAGGGGAGCCGAAGGGAAACCGAGUCUUAACUGGGCGUUAAGUUGCAGGGUAUAGACCCGAAACCCGGUGAUCUAGCCAUGGGCAGGUUGAAGGUUGGGUAACACUAACUGGAGGACCGAACCGACUAAUGUUGAAAAAUUAGCGGAUGACUUGUGGCUGGGGGUGAAAGGCCAAUCAAACCGGGAGAUAGCUGGUUCUCCCCGAAAGCUAUUUAGGUAGCGCCUCGUGAAUUCAUCUCCGGGGGUAGAGCACUGUUUCGGCAAGGGGGUCAUCCCGACUUACCAACCCGAUGCAAACUGCGAAUACCGGAGAAUGUUAUCACGGGAGACACACGGCGGGUGCUAACGUCCGUCGUGAAGAGGGAAACAACCCAGACCGCCAGCUAAGGUCCCAAAGUCAUGGUUAAGUGGGAAACGAUGUGGGAAGGCCCAGACAGCCAGGAUGUUGGCUUAGAAGCAGCCAUCAUUUAAAGAAAGCGUAAUAGCUCACUGGUCGAGUCGGCCUGCGCGGAAGAUGUAACGGGGCUAAACCAUGCACCGAAGCUGCGGCAGCGACGCUGAUGCGUUGUUGGGUAGGGGAGCGUUCUGUAAGCCUGUGAAGGUGUGCUGUGAGGCAUGCUGGAGGUAUCAGAAGUGCGAAUGCUGACAUAAGUAACGAUAAAGCGGGUGAAAAGCCCGCUCGCCGGAAGACCAAGGGUUCCUGUCCAACGUUAAUCGGGGCAGGGUGAGUCGACCCCUAAGGCGAGGCCGAAAGGCGUAGUCGAUGGGAAACAGGUUAAUAUUCCUGUACUUGGUGUUACUGCGAAGGGGGGACGGAGAAGGCUAUGUUGGCCGGGCGACGGUUGUCCCGGUUUAAGCGUGUAGGCUGGUUUUCCAGGCAAAUCCGGAAAAUCAAGGCUGAGGCGUGAUGACGAGGCACUACGGUGCUGAAGCAACAAAUGCCCUGCUUCCAGGAAAAGCCUCUAAGCAUCAGGUAACAUCAAAUCGUACCCCAAACCGACACAGGUGGUCAGGUAGAGAAUACCAAGGCGCUUGAGAGAACUCGGGUGAAGGAACUAGGCAAAAUGGUGCCGUAACUUCGGGAGAAGGCACGCUGAUAUGUAGGUGAAGCGACUUGCUCGUGGAGCUGAAAUCAGUCGAAGAUACCAGCUGGCUGCAACUGUUUAUUAAAAACACAGCACUGUGCAAACACGAAAGUGGACGUAUACGGUGUGACGCCUGCCCGGUGCCGGAAGGUUAAUUGAUGGGGU
Molecule: ribosomal RNA, 1479 nt
Filed under: Escherichia coli
Lineage: Bacteria; Pseudomonadati; Pseudomonadota; Gammaproteobacteria; Enterobacterales; Enterobacteriaceae
Description: partial 23S ribosomal RNA
Rfam family: Bacterial large subunit ribosomal RNA
Source: RNAcentral